Molecule: non-coding RNA, 103 nt
Organism: Pseudomonas syringae pv. pisi str. 1704B
Lineage: Bacteria; Pseudomonadati; Pseudomonadota; Gammaproteobacteria; Pseudomonadales; Pseudomonadaceae
Source: Rfam
CCGCGUCGGGUUGUGUAUUUACUGCGCUGUGUUAGUGUCAGACCUUGCCUCUGCAGACAAGAGGCUCGUCAAACCCCGCCAACUGGUGGGGUUUUGUUUUAUU